ACUCCUACGGGAGGCAGCAGUGGGGAAUAUUGCACAAUGGGCGCAAGCCUGAUGCAGCGACGCCGCGUGGGGGAUGACGGCCUUCGGGUUGUAAACCUCUUUCAGUACAGACGAAGCGCAAGUGACGGUAUGUACAGAAGAAGCACCGGCCAACUACGUGCCAGCAGCCGCGGUAAUACGUAGGGUGCGAGCGUUGUCCGGAAUUACUGGGCGUAAAGAGCUCGUAGGUGGUUUGUCGCGUUGUUCGUGAAAACCUGAGGCUUAACCUUGGGCGUGCGGGCGAUACGGGCAGACUGGAGUACUGCAGGGGAGACUGGAAUUCCUGGUGUAGCGGUGGAAUGCGCAGAUAUCAGGAGGAACACCGGUGGCGAAGGCGGGUCUCUGGGCAGUAACUGACGCUGAGGAGCGAAAGCGUGGGGAGCGAACAGGAUUAGAUACCCUGGUAGCGAGUAG
This 453-nucleotide ribosomal RNA is filed under the name uncultured bacterium. RNAcentral describes it as "bacterial SSU rRNA". It matches the Rfam family "Bacterial small subunit ribosomal RNA", at positions 335 to 802 of the family's 1533-position model. The record is from RNAcentral.